CAAACUGGAGAUGGCGACCGGCGCACGGGUGAGUAACACGUAUCCAACCUGCCGAUAACUCGGGGAUAGCCCUUCGAAAGAAAGAUUAAUACCCGAUGGCAUAAUAGAACCGCAUGGUUUGAUUAUUAAAGAAUUUCGGUUAUCGAUGGGGAUGCGUUCCAUUAGGCAGUUGGUGGGGUAACGGCCCACCAAACCUUCGAUGGAUAGGGGUUCUGAGAGGAAGGUCCCCCACAUUGGAACCGAGACACGGUCCAA
RNAcentral lists this ribosomal RNA (255 nucleotides) under uncultured bacterium. Its description in RNAcentral is "partial 16S ribosomal RNA". It matches the Rfam family "Bacterial small subunit ribosomal RNA", at positions 77 to 334 of the family's 1533-position model. The record is from RNAcentral.